AUGAACGCUGGCGGCGUGCCUCAUACAUGCAAGUCGAGCGAACGGACGAGAAGCUUGCUUCUCUGAUGUUAGCGGCGGACGGGUGAGUAACACGUGGAUAGCCUACCUAUAAGACUGGGAUAACUUCGGGAAACCGGAGCUAAUACCGGAUAAUAUUUUGAACCGCAUGGUUCAAAAGUGAAAGACGGUCUUGCUGUCACUUAUAGAUGGAUCCGCGCUGCAUUAGCUAGUUGGUAAGGUAACGGCUUACCAAGGCAACGAUGCAUAGCCGACCUGAGAGGGUGAUCGGCCACACUGGAACUGAGACACGGUCCAGACUCCUACGGGAGGCAGCAGUAGGGAAUCUUCCGCAAUGGGCGAAAGCCUGACGGAGCAACGCCGCGUGAGUGAUGAAGGUCUUCGGAUCGUAAAACUCUGUUAUUAGGGAAGAACAUAUGUGUAAGUAACUGUGCACAUCUUGACGGUACCUAAUCAGAAAGCCACGGCUAACUACGUG
This 496-nucleotide ribosomal RNA is filed under the name uncultured bacterium. Its description in RNAcentral is "partial 16S ribosomal RNA". It matches the Rfam family "Bacterial small subunit ribosomal RNA", at positions 29 to 507 of the family's 1533-position model. The record is from RNAcentral.